Dreissena polymorpha is the source of this 230-nucleotide long non-coding RNA. RefSeq lists it as uncharacterized. The record is from RefSeq and is a predicted model, not a curated record. The transcript is spliced from 3 exons. NCBI's taxonomy places the organism in Eukaryota, Metazoa, Mollusca, Bivalvia, Myida, Dreissenidae.
CGGCAGACGGGUGGCGGACAUCCGAUGAAAGCCGCAGACACGGUAACGAUGUCAAUCAUUGAAACAAUGAAGGACACGCCGUCCUUCAGUGGGAUUCCGGGUGCUUCUCAAUCCGAAACCACCAUCGGUGCAGUGCGCAGUGCAACAGGAUUUGUUGAGCUGCUCCAACUGGAUGACUUCCUCAACUUUGCUGCCGAUAUUCGUCCAUUCGACGAUGAUGAAACAGUAAA